This 73-nucleotide transfer RNA is filed under the name bacterium. RNAcentral describes it as "tRNA-Ala". It matches the Rfam family "tRNA". From Rfam's summary of the family: Transfer RNA (tRNA) molecules are approximately 80 nucleotides in length. Their secondary structure includes four short double-helical elements and three loops (D, anti-codon, and T loops). Further hydrogen bonds mediate the characteristic L-shaped molecular structure. tRNAs have two regions of fundamental functional importance: the anti-codon, which is responsible for specific mRNA codon recognition, and the 3' end, to which the tRNAs corresponding amino acid is attached (by aminoacyl-tRNA synthetases). tRNAs cope with the degeneracy of the genetic code in two manners: having more than one tRNA (with a specific anti-codon) for a particular amino acid; and 'wobble' base-pairing, i.e. permitting non-standard base-pairing at the 3rd anti-codon position. The record is from RNAcentral.
GGGGACAUAGCUCAGCUGGGAGAGCGCAAGGCUGGCAGUCUUGAGGUCAGGGGUUCGAUCCCCCUUGUCUCCA